Molecule: non-coding RNA, 2479 nt
Organism: Peromyscus maniculatus bairdii (prairie deer mouse)
Lineage: Eukaryota; Metazoa; Chordata; Mammalia; Rodentia; Cricetidae
Source: RefSeq, a predicted model, not a curated record
GGAACACAGGAUCGCAACCUCCUUCCCUGACUCAUUCUGCCCGUCUGACCUUAGGUCAGGGCACCUAUUUGCAGCCCAUGUUCUCAAUGCUAGGGCUUAGUGGCCUGGAGACUGGUUCUGACUCACAGCCUUUGAUAUGGGCCUUUGGCUGGAUGUCUCUGCAUCUGGGUUAAGCAAGCCUCUUCUGCACAUUAACUUGCAAAUGGCUGCCAUCACUUUCAAUUUGCAGGACCUUUUCACCACCAACCUUUGGCGAGCUCAUGUCCCAUAUCAAGUUCCCAAGACAGAGUCUGUUCAUCUUUUGGUGCAAGGUAAGACUUGAACAGAUGAGGUAUGGGUGUGAAGCCACUAACUGUAGAUGGGGCAGGCUCUAAGGAACAUUUUGUUUAGUUUUCUCUCUACAGCCAAUAAUCACAAUGGUUUGGAGAUGAGGCCUGAUUGCUUUGGAAGAUGUUUGGAGAGAAAAGGAGAGAGAUGGGUUAGAAGCCUGAGGAGACAUUGAGAUGGAGGCAUGGUGGGUCUCCUUUGCUUUGCCAAGUGCGUACCCUUCCGUGUCUCGCAUCUGACCUCUGCUGCUCCCGGGACCCAGAACGCCCACCACAGUGCUGAAUUUCUCUGAGCACAGUCUGUCUACGCCUUCCACCCAUGGAAGUGAUGGAUGGGUCAGAGAGGAACAAGUUGACCAAAUCGAGUUUUCUCUCACCUUUCCCACAGGCUUCCUGUUAUUGAGGUUUUUGUGACCUGGGCCCACUGAGACCUCAUCAGCUUAUACUGUGACUCUCCACCUUUCUGAUCUUUUCAGUUCCUGCCAGAACCAGUUAUGUUUCCCUUACAGCAAUCUAGCUGUUUCCAAACCUGUCUGGUGAAUUGGUUCUAAAGGCCUCUUGACCAUUUCAUUGGGUUGUUACAGCCAUGACUCCACUUCUUUUUUAAAAGUAUUUUUAAAAUUAAUAUGUAUUAGUCAUACAACUUAAAGGUGUUCACUGUGAUAUCCCCAUAUGUGUAGCCAUUGUGCAUUGAUUGUGCCCAUCCAUCUCUCAUGACCCAGGUCAUCUUCCCCCAUUCUUCCCAGCACUCUUUCUGGCUCCUAGAAGUCCUUCUAAAUUCCCUUUCAUUUACUUUCCCCAGUUCUAGUUACUAUUCUUCUGUUCUGUACCUAUGUGAUGUUGACUUGGGCUUUACACGAGUGAGCAAGAUGUGGUGUUUGUCCUUCUGUGUCUGGCUGGUUUCACUCAACACAAUUGUCCUAGUUACUUUUCUGUUACCGUGAAGAGACACUGUGGCCAAGGUAACUUAUUAAGGAAAGCAUUAAAUUGAGGGUCUGCUUACAGUUCCAGAGGGUGAGUCCAUGAUCAUCAUGGUGGAGUGAAUGGAGGCAGGAAGGUAGGCUCUGGGACAGUAGCUGAGAACUAUAUCCUGAUCCAUAGACAGAGAGAAACUCUGUGUUUGACAUGGGCUUUAGAAACUGCAAAGUCUACCCCAGUGACACACUUUUUCCAACAAUGUCAAACCUUCUAAUCCUUCCCAAAGCUGUUUCACCAACUAGGGACCUAGCGAACAAAUAUAUGAGAGUAUGGGGGUCACUCAUUCAAAUCACCAUAAUGUACUCUGGUGUCCAUUCAUACAGUUACUAAUUAUUGGAUUCCAUUCUUCUUUAUGGUUGAGUAGUAUUCUAUCAGGUAAACAUAGUAAGAGAAUAAACAAGGUGUCCCUGAUGUCCAUGUCCCCUAUCCCUGGAGGAAAGUCUUUUCUUUUUUGUAAGAAUGAGGCCAGCAAAUGAAUAACAGCUAACCCAAGGGGCCUGGGAAGGGGACCAUCUGUCUCAACCAUAUAGCACCGGUUGUUUGGGAAAAGUUUCUAUCACUAGCAACCAAGGAGGCCAGGCUAAUCAAAGGGCCAUUUAUUUGUAUGUGUGUCUAACCUGUAAAGAGGUCUGCAGGAAGAUUCGAAUUCAGAAAACAAACCCCCAUCCUAAUGCCAUAGUUAUCAGCUGGUGUAUUUCCUUCUAGUUUUUUCUAUGUACACGUUUUUAAAUAUAGUUUCUAGUCAUGGCUGCCAAACUUGCUCACAACAUGUAGUCAUCAUUUGCCAUGUUGUUAGAAGAAUUCUACAAACUUUAUCAUAAUGAUAUAAAGGUCUGCUGUGGCACUGAGAGGACAUAGUAAAGUCAAACCCAUCACCCCCAUCUUUUCCAUGGUGACAAGGUGAGGUUUAACCAGAAGGCAAGGUCAUUCAUUUUGGGAAAUGAUUACUUCCAAGGUGGGAACUGGAGCUCUUUGAGAUUGGGGAUGGGGUAUGGAGGUUCUUCUGCUCUUGUAUGCUCCCAAUGGAGAGCUGACAUGGGGAGUAUUCCCUGGGUAGCAGAGUCCCUCUGGAUUCUACCCACAGGCCCUGUCCAUCCAACAGCUAAAGCCAUACCCCCUACUUAAAAUUGAGCAAAUAGAUGUUGAAACAUCAGAAAUUCAGGGGUGGGGGCAGU